CAGCACCUCAAGUGGUCAGGAUGAUUAUUGGGCCUAAAGCAUCCGUAGCUCGUUUUGUAAGUUUUCGGUUAAAUCCAUGCGCUUAACGUAUGGGCUGCCGGGAAUACUGCAUAACUAGGAAGUGGGAGAGGUAGACGGUACUCGGUAGGAAGGGGUAAAAUCCUUUGAUCUAUUGAUGACCACCUGUGGCGAAGGCGGUCUACCAGAACACGUUCGACGGUGAGGGAUGAAAGCUGGGGGAGCAAACCGGAUUAGAUACCCGAGUAGUCC
This 270-nucleotide ribosomal RNA is filed under the name uncultured archaeon. Its description in RNAcentral is "partial 16S ribosomal RNA". It matches the Rfam family "Archaeal small subunit ribosomal RNA", at positions 477 to 747 of the family's 1478-position model. The record is from RNAcentral.